UUUGGUCCAUGCUUUGUCUGACUCUGGUUGAUUUUCUUGCAACCUGAGCUCAGUGUAAAGCCUCCUUCUCCUUCCAGAGAUGGGAAGUUCACACAAAUCUGCAAAUUCACACAAAUCUGGUAUUGUGAGUGUUCCUGCAAUGAAGUACCAUGGAACAGGACUUCUUUUCAGUCUGGAGAUACAAGACUUGAGAUUCUUGUAAGACCUUGCACUGACAACCAGCCAGCUAAUUCUGAUUGACCAGUAUCAUCUUCACAAAGAAAUGAUGAUUUCAAGACCCUUUUUCUCCAGAACCAGUCAAAAGCUGCUGAAAGGAUUGUUCCAUGCUGGCAAAAUCUCCCAUGGCAAAGUCCAAGAGAAAAUUGAAGGAAGAUCUGCAGUUUUCAGAGUUUUGCAUUCUUGCUUCUGGCUUAUUCAGGAUUUGCCAUGCAGAGUAACCAGUGAGCACCUGCUGUGCUGCCCAGGGGAUGGGCUGCUCCUUGGUUCCUCACACCAGCUCUGACCCGCCAUGGUGUCUCCUCAAGCCUGGCCCCAAGGAGGGAAGAUGCUUUUGGUGAGUUUGGUGCCUGGAAUUUGUGAUUUUAACAUCCUGCUUGACCUUCUCCAGCCACAGCCUCCCUCAUCACUCUGAAUUUACUGUCUGAGCUCUCUGAGCUUUUGUCCAGGCUGCAAAUCCUAAGGCACAGUGCAUAACUCUGAUGCUUGGGCCCUUGAUUUGCUGACAUGUGUCUUCAUCUUACAUCCUCCACUUCCUUUUCCCUUCUCCUCCCCCCAACCCCAGGCUUUCCACAACCACAGCAAGCCCUGCCAGUGAAUUCUAGCCUUUGUCUUCACCCCAGUCAGCAGCAGCCUCCAGAUAACAAAAACAAUGAUGCCAUUUAUCUUUAUCACUCUCACAACACAGCAGUGACCACAGGCUCUUUGCUUUGCCUCCCAAAUCAGUGACCAGCACACAGAAAUCCUGAGGUUCACUCCUGGUUCUCCAGUGCUCCUCUCUGGCUCCAGCUCCUCUUGGUGCCUGAGGUCACAAUUUUGAAAUCCCACACCAGGCACAGACUGAGAGGGCUCCAACCAUGCAGGAGCAGAGAAGGAGCCUGCACCCUCCAUGGGAAACAUGAAAUUUGUGCAGAGAGCUCAAUCCUUCUCUUCCAGCCAACUAAGAGGGGGAAAAAAGGGUGGAGUAGAUUUUCUUCCUCUCUUCCAAGCCCUGAAUGUUUAGCAUAUGGGCCAUAAAAUUUCCCUAAAUUGCUCAAGGGAAAAUCCAUGUGAUGCAGAUAUUGUACCAAACCAGGUCUGCAGAGGCCCUUACAAAUCCCAGCCUGGGGAGCUUGAA
This is a long non-coding RNA of Melospiza georgiana, 1333 nucleotides long. RefSeq lists it as uncharacterized. Lineage: Eukaryota; Metazoa; Chordata; Aves; Passeriformes; Passerellidae. The transcript is spliced from 5 exons. The record is from RefSeq and is a predicted model, not a curated record.